RNAcentral lists this ribosomal RNA (786 nucleotides) under Triticum aestivum (bread wheat). RNAcentral's name for it is "partial small subunit ribosomal RNA". Lineage: Eukaryota; Viridiplantae; Streptophyta; Magnoliopsida; Poales; Poaceae. The record is from RNAcentral.
AUAUUUUCGUAUUAUGUGCUUGUGCUUGCAAAGCAGUGUUGGAGGCUCUUGAGUGAGCCAGAUUUGUUAUGUGCCAGAAUAUUAAGAGCAAAAUAUUUUCCAGAGGGCAACCUCCUUACGUGCAGCUUAAAGAAGGGUAGCUCUUACACCUGGCAAAGCAUUUGGAGUGGUAUUCAGACCUUCAAGAAAGGUCAUAUAUGAAGAGUAGGAGAUGGGUCUCAAAUAAACAUAUGGGAGGACUCUUGGGUACUAAGCAGCCCCACUCGGAAAGUCAUGACACCAAGGGCGAACAUUGAAAUUACCAAGAUGUCGGAACUCAUUGAUGCGGAUAAUAGAGCUUGGGAUGAACAGUUAAUUAAUGAUCUAUUUUGGCCAAUUGAUGCACAACGUAUUCUCAACAUUCCUUUGGCUCUAGGGAUGAUGGAUGAUUUUGUUUCUUGGCAUUUUAAUAGAAGCGGAAAUUUUACACGGAGGGCAGCGUAUCAUGAAGAAUGGGAACACCAACACGGAUGAAAGUUGAGGAUGACAAAUUCGAUACAAGCCUCAAGUACUAGUCCAGUUUGGAGGACCAUUUGGAAACUACGUGUGCCUUCAAAAGUGAAAAUUCAUGUGUGGAAAAAUUUGCUUGGUGCUCUUCCAUGUCAAGGACUCUUGGCGAACAGACACAUAAUUUCGAGUUCUCAAUGCCCCUUAUGCAGUUCAGAUUGUGAAAGCAUUCGGCAUGCUUUAUUCUUGUGCCCUCGAGUACAGGAGGUGUAGUGUUUACUAGGUAUGGCAGCUGUGGUG